GCGCCUGGCGGCGUGCUUACCAUGCAAGUCGAACGAUGAAGCCCAGCUUGCUGGGUGGAUUAGUGGCGAACGGGUGAGUAACACGUGGGUGAUCUGCCCUGCACUCUGGGAUAAGCCUGGGAAACUGGGUCUAAUACCGGAUAUGACCUCGGGAUGCAUGUUCUGGGGUGGAAAGUUUUUCGGUGCAGGAUGAGCCCGCGGCCUAUCAGCUUGUUGGUGGGGUAAUGGCCUACCAAGGCGACGACGGGUAGCCGGCCUGAGAGGGCGACCGGCCACACUGGGACUGAGACACGGCCCAGACUCCUACGGGAGGCAGCAGUGGGGAAUAUUGCACAAUGGGCGCAAGCCUGAUGCAGCGACGCCGCGUGAGGGAUGACGGCCUUCGGGUUGUAAACCUCUUUCACCCAUGACGAAGCGCAAGUGACGGUAGUGGGAGAAGAAGCACCGGCCAACUACGUGCCAGCAGCCGCGGUAAUACGUAGGGUGCGAGCGUUGUCCGGAAUUACUGGGCGUAAAGAGCUCGUAGGCGGUUUGUCGCGUCGUCUGUGAAAUCCCGCAGCUCAACUGCGGGCUUGCAGGCGAUACGGGCAGACUCGAGUACUGCAGGGGAGACUGGAAUUCCUGGUGUAGCGGUGAAAUGCGCAGAUAUCAGGAGGAACACCGGUGGCGAAGGCGGGUCUCUGGGCAGUAACUGACGCUGAGGAGCGAAAGCGUGGGUAGCGAACAGGAUUAGAUACCCUGGUAGUCCACGCCGUAAACGGUGGCGCUAGGGGUGUUGGGUUUCCUUCCACGGGAUCCGUGCCGUAGCCAACGCAUUAAGCGCCCCGCCUGGGGGAGUACGGCCGCAAGGCUAAAACUCAAGGAAUUUGACGGGGGCCCGCACAAGCGGCGGAGCAUGGUGGAUUAAUUCGAUGCAACGCGAGACCUUACCUGGGUUUGACAUGUACCGGACGACUGCAAGAAGAUGUGGUUUCCCUUGUGCCGGUAGACAGGUGCUGCAUGGCU
Molecule: ribosomal RNA, 1005 nt
Filed under: Rhodococcus pyridinivorans
Lineage: Bacteria; Bacillati; Actinomycetota; Actinomycetes; Mycobacteriales; Nocardiaceae
Description: bacterial SSU rRNA
Rfam family: Bacterial small subunit ribosomal RNA
Source: RNAcentral